Molecule: long non-coding RNA, 213 nt
Filed under: Nicotiana benthamiana
Lineage: Eukaryota; Viridiplantae; Streptophyta; Magnoliopsida; Solanales; Solanaceae
Description: long non-coding RNA (NBEN_LNC001007)
Source: RNAcentral
GCCGAAGCCACCGUGCACCUCAUCAUAGCCACCAGCAUCAGCCCCAAUAUGACCAUUAAAGUGCCCUCCUAUAACUAAUUUCUCAGAUUGGGGAAUACUACUCACCAGAUCAUUCAAGUCCUCUCAAAAGCGCCUCUUAGCCUCCUCGUCUAAGCACGCUUGCGGCGCAUAAGCGCUGAUGACGCAACCCCCAAUAACCAGCUUAAUAGACAU